AUUGAACGCUGGCGGCAUGCCUUACACAUGCAAGUCGAACGGCAGCACGGGAGCAAUCCUGGUGACGAGUGGCGAACGGGUGAGUAAUGCAUCGGAACGUACCUUUCAGUGGGGGAUAACGUAGCGAAAGUUACGCUAAUACCGCAUAUUCUGUGAGCAGGAAAGCAGGGGAUCGCAAGACCUUGCGCUGAUUGAGCGGCCGAUGUCAGAUUAGCUAGUUGGUGAGGUAAAGGCUCACCAAGGCGACGAUCUGUAGCGGGUCUGAGAGGAUGAUCCGCCACACUGGAACUGAGACACGGUCCAGACUCCUACGGGAGGCAGCAGUGGGGAAUUUUGGACAAUGGGGGCAACCCUGAUCCAGCCAUGCCGCGUGAGUGAAGAAGGCCUUCGGGUUGUAAAGCUCUUUCGGCCGGGAAGAAAUCGUAUGGGCUAAUACCCUGUGCGGAUGACGGUACCGGCAUAAGAAGCACCGGCUAACUACGUG
Molecule: ribosomal RNA, 484 nt
Filed under: uncultured bacterium
Lineage: Bacteria
Description: bacterial SSU rRNA
Rfam family: Bacterial small subunit ribosomal RNA
Source: RNAcentral